GGCUGGGUGGCGUAGUUGGUUAUCGCAUCUGUCUAACAUUCAACGGUUUCCACCAGAGAAUACGAUCACAGAAGGCCCCAGGUUCGAGCCCUGGUCUAGUCA
This 102-nucleotide transfer RNA is filed under the name Plicaturopsis crispa FD-325 SS-3. It matches the Rfam family "tRNA". From Rfam's summary of the family: Transfer RNA (tRNA) molecules are approximately 80 nucleotides in length. Their secondary structure includes four short double-helical elements and three loops (D, anti-codon, and T loops). The record is from Rfam by way of RNAcentral. Lineage: Eukaryota; Fungi; Basidiomycota; Agaricomycetes; Amylocorticiales; Amylocorticiaceae.